UCAGUAAUACUGCGAUGAUCUGGUCAGGCGCUACGAUAACCACGGGAAACUGUGGCUAACAGGCCUGGAUGAGACGCGGGUCUAUCAGCUAGUUGGUAGUGUAAUGGACUACCAAGGCGACGACGGAUGACGGGAGAUGGGGGUCUGAUUCCGGAGAGGGAGCCUGAGAGAUAGCUCCCACGUCCAUGGACGGCAGCAGGCGCGGAAAUUGCCCACUCUCUUCGCGGAGGAGGCGGUUAAGAGGCGUGAGCACAAGGACCGACGGCAAAGAAGUCGGUGAACGCGAUUGGAGGGCAAGUU
This 300-nucleotide ribosomal RNA is filed under the name uncultured Microsporidia. Its description in RNAcentral is "SSU rRNA". It matches the Rfam family "Microsporidia small subunit ribosomal RNA", at positions 88 to 387 of the family's 1311-position model. The record is from RNAcentral. Lineage: Eukaryota; Fungi; Microsporidia.